Molecule: ribosomal RNA, 226 nt
Filed under: uncultured bacterium
Lineage: Bacteria
Description: partial 16S ribosomal RNA
Rfam family: Bacterial small subunit ribosomal RNA
Source: RNAcentral
GAUCAUGGCUCAGGAUGAACGCUGGCGGCAUGCCUAAUACAUGCAAGUCGAACGAGAGGAAGGAAAGCUUGCUUUUCUGAAUCUAGUGGCGAACGGGUGAGUAACGCGUAUCCAACCUGCCCAUCACUUGGGAAUAACCUUGCGAAAGUAAGACUAAUGCCCAAUGAUAUCCCACGAAGGCAUCCGAAUGGGAUUAAAGAUUUAUCGGUGAUGGAUGGGGAUGCGU